AGUAACGGCGAGUGAAGCGGCAACAGCUCAAAUUUGAAAUCUGGCUCUCGGGCCCGAGUUGUAAUUUGUAGAGGAUGCUUUUGGUGAGGUGCCUUCCGAGUUCCCUGGAACGGGACGCCAUAGAGGGUGAGAGCCCCGUCUGGUUGGACACCGAUCCUCUGUAAAGCUCCUUCGACGAGUCGAGUUGUUUGGGA
RNAcentral lists this ribosomal RNA (194 nucleotides) under Fusarium solani. RNAcentral describes it as "partial large subunit ribosomal RNA". It matches the Rfam family "Eukaryotic large subunit ribosomal RNA", at positions 82 to 279 of the family's 3401-position model. The record is from RNAcentral. Lineage: Eukaryota; Fungi; Ascomycota; Sordariomycetes; Hypocreales; Nectriaceae.